UGGUUCUCCCCGAAAGCUAUUUAGGUAGCGCCUCGUGAAUUCAUCUUCGGGGGUAGAGCACUGUUUCGGCUAGGGGGUCAUCCCGACUUACCAACCCGAUGCAAACUACGAAUACCGAAGAAUGUUAUCACGGGAGACACACGGCGGGUGCUAACGUCCGUCGUGAAGAGGGAAACAACCCAGACCGCCAGCUAAGGUCCCAAAGUCAUGGUUAAGUGGGAAACGAUGUGGGAAGGCACAGACAGCCAGGAUGUUGGCUUAGAAGCAGCCAUCAUUUAAAGAAAGCGUAAUAGCUCACUGGUCGAGUCGGCCUGCGCGGAAGAUGUAACGGGGCUAAACCAUGCACCGAAGCUGCGGCAGCGACACUAUGUGUUGUUGGGUAGGGGAGCGUUCUGUAAGCCUGCGAAGGUGACCUGUGAGGGUUGCUGGAGGUAUCAGAAGUGCGAAUGCUGACAUAAGUAACGAUAAAGCGGGUGAAAAGCCCGCUCGCCGGAAGACCAAGGGUUCCUGUCCAACGUUAAUCGGGGCAGGGUGAGUCGACCCCUAAGGCGAGGCCGAAAGGCGUAGUCGAUGGGAAACAGGUUAAUAUUCCUGUACUUGGUGUUACUGCGAAGGGGGGACGGAGAAGGCUAUGUUAGCCGGGCGACGGUUGUCCCGGUUUAAGCAUGUAGGCUGGUUAUCCAGGCAAAUCCGGAUAAUCAAGGCUGAGGUGUGAUGACGAGGCACUACGGUGCUGAAGUAACAAAUGCCCUGCUUCCAGGAAAAGCCUCUAAGCAUCAGGUAACAUCAAAUCGUACCCCAAACCGACACAGGUGGUCAGGUAGAGAAUACCAAGGCGCUUGAGAGAACUCGGGUGAAGGAACUAGGCAAAAUGGUGCCGUAACUUCGGGAGAAGGCACGCUGGUGUGUAGGUGAAGUCCCUGCGGAUGGAGCUGAGACCAGUCGAAGAUACCAGCUGGCUGCAACUGUUUAUUAAAAACACAGCACUGUGCAAACACGAAAGUGGACGUAUACGGUGUGACGCCUGCCCGGUGCCGGAAGGUUAAUUGAUGGGGUUAUCCGUAAGGAGAAGCUCUUGAUCGAAGCCCCGGUAAACGGCGGCCGUAACUAUAACGGUCCUAAGGUAGCGAAAUUCCUUGUCGGGUAAGUUCCGACCUGCACGAAUGGCGUAAUGAUGGCCAGGCUGUCUCCACCCGAGACUCAGUGAAAUUGAACUCGCUGUGAAGAUGCAGUGUACCCGCGGCAAGACGGAAAGACCCCGUGAACCUUUACUAUAGCUUGACACUGAACAUUGAGCCUUGAUGUGUAGGAUAGGUGGGAGGCUUUGAAGCGUGGACGCCAGUCUGCGUGGAGCCAACCUUGAAAUACCACCCUUUAAUGUUUGAUGUUCUAACGUUGGCCCCUGACCGGGGUUGCGGACAGUGUCUGGUGGGUAGUUUGACUGGGGCGGUCUCCUCCCAAAGCGUAACGGAGGAGCACGAAGGUUAGCUAAUCCUGGUCGGACAUCAGGAGGUUAGUGCAAUGGCAUAAGCUAGCUUGACUGCGAGCGUGACGGCGCGAGCAGGUGCGAAAGCAGGUCAUAGUGAUCCGGUGGUUCUGAAUGGAAGGGCCAUCGCUCAACGGAUAAAAGGUACUCCGGGGAUAACAGGCUGAUACCGCCCAAGAGUUCAUAUCGACGGCGGUGUUUGGCACCUCGAUGUCGGCUCAUCACAUCCUGGGGCUGAAGUAGGUCCCAAGGGUAUGGCUGUUCGCCAUUUAAAGUGGUACGCGAGCUGGGUUUAGAACGUCGUGAGACAGUUCGGUCCCUAUCUGCCGUGGGCGCUGGAGAAUUGAGGGGGGCUGCUCCUAGUACGAGAGGACCGGAGUGGACGCAUCACUGGUGUUCGGGUUGUCAUGCCAAUGGCACUGCCCGGUAGCUAAAUGCGGAAGAGAUAAGUGCUGAAAGCAUCUAAGCACGAAACUUGCCCCGAGAUGAGUUCUCCCUGAGACUUUAAGUCUCCUGAAGGAACGUUAAAGACGAUGACGUUGAUAGGCCGGGUGUGUAAGCGCAGCGAUGCGUUGAGCUAACCGGUACUAAUGAACCGUGAGGCUUAACCUU
Molecule: ribosomal RNA, 2098 nt
Filed under: Klebsiella pneumoniae MGH 35
Lineage: Bacteria; Pseudomonadati; Pseudomonadota; Gammaproteobacteria; Enterobacterales; Enterobacteriaceae
Description: bacterial LSU rRNA
Rfam family: Bacterial large subunit ribosomal RNA
Source: RNAcentral